RNAcentral lists this long non-coding RNA (625 nucleotides) under Mytilus galloprovincialis (Mediterranean mussel). The record is from RNAcentral. Lineage: Eukaryota; Metazoa; Mollusca; Bivalvia; Mytilida; Mytilidae.
UAGCAUAAUGGAGGCAAAUGAGGCAAAUGCCUCACUUUUUAAACGACGACCAAACUUUAGAAGUGUCAUUUUUUUUUUUUUUUUUUUUUUUUCGAGUUUCAAACUAUCUACUGGCACACUACAUACAGUGUGUCCAAUCUGCAGCAGCGAUUGUAGCUUUUACUAUACGCCUUUUCUAUGGAAGUCUUUAAUGCAUAAGGCAAUUCAUGAUUUUUAUUUAUCUUUAAUAAAAGUAUGAAAUAUAUUUUUUGUUUCAUUGGAAAAUAUUUUUUUGUGUUUCUUUUUCUGAUUAAUAUGAUCAGCAUUGUCUGGUUGUAUGCUAGUGUGUUCCAUUGAUUCUAGUGCGGUAGGUCGUGGGUUUGAACCCCGGUAGGUCAAACCAAUGACCUAAAUAUUGGUAGAAUAAUGUGUCCAGGUAGGUUGACAUGUCAUCCAGCUGAAUGUUUACAGAUAACUUGUGAUCACUUGUUACAUUAGAACGUCAAAAAUCCGGUUAAGUAACAAUGUUGGUCUAGUCUUCUCUGUACCUAUUCUUAUGGUUAAUGAUUAUGUACAAUAAAUGUAUCCUAAUUGAUGCUCAUAACAUGUUCUCGUCUUUUAGAAGCUUAUAACUUGCUGUUGGACA